CUGACAUAAGUAACGAUAAAGCGGGUGAAAAGCCCGCUCGCCGGAAGACCAAGGGUUCCUGUCCAACGUUAAUCGGGGCAGGGUGAGUCGACCCCUAAGGCGAGGCCGAAAGGCGUAGUCGAUGGGAAACAGGUUAAUAUUCCUGUACUUGGUGUUACUGCGAAGGGGGGACGGAGAAGGCUAUGUUGGCCGGGCGACGGUUGUCCCGGUUUAAGCGUGUAGGCUGGUUUUCCAGGCAAAUCCGGAAAAUCAAGGCUGAGGCGUGAUGACGAGGCACUACGGUGCUGAAGCAACAAAUGCCCUGCUUCCAGGAAAAGCCUCUAAGCAUCAGGUAACAUCAAAUCGUACCCCAAACCGACACAGGUGGUCAGGUAGAGAAUACCAAGGCGCUUGAGAGAACUCGGGUGAAGGAACUAGGCAAAAUGGUGCCGUAACUUCGGGAGAAGGCACGCUGAUAUGUAGGUGAAGUCCCUCGCGGAUGGAGCUGAAAUCAGUCGAAGAUACCAGCUGGCUGCAACUGUUUAUUAAAAACACAGCACUGUGCAAACACGAAAGUGGACGUAUACGGUGUGACGCCUGCCCGGUGC
Molecule: ribosomal RNA, 587 nt
Filed under: Escherichia coli
Lineage: Bacteria; Pseudomonadati; Pseudomonadota; Gammaproteobacteria; Enterobacterales; Enterobacteriaceae
Description: partial 23S ribosomal RNA
Rfam family: Bacterial large subunit ribosomal RNA
Source: RNAcentral